UUUAAUGGCUGCAGUAAUUUGACUGUACAAAGGUAGCAUAAUAAUUAGUUUUUUAAUUAAAAGCUUGUAUGAAGGGUUGGACGAAAUAAAAACUGUCUUUAUUUAAUUUAUGGUAGAAUUUAAUUUUUAAAUUAAAAAGUUUAAAUAUUAAUAAAAGACGAGAAGACCCUAUAGAGUUUAAUAUUUAAUUAUAUAUAAUUAAUUUAGAUUUAUUAAUUUUGUAUAUAUUUAAAUAUUUUAUUGGGGUAAUAUAAAGAUUAAAAUAAUUCUUUAAUUUUUUAUUUAUUGAUUUAUAUUUUUUAUUGAUCCAUUAAUAAUGAUUAUAAGUUUAAAUUACCUUAGGGAUAACAGCGUAAUUUUUUUAGAGAGUUCAUAUUGAUAAAAAAGUUUGCGACCUCGAUGUUGGAUUAAAGAUUAAUUUAGGUGCAAAAGUUUAAAUAAUUUGGUCUGUUCGACCAUUAAAUCUUUACAUGAUCUGAGUUCAGACCGGCGUAAGCCAGGUCGGUUUCUAUCUUUAUUAAAUUAAUAUAUUUUAGUACGAAAGGACCAAUUAUUAAUUAUAUUAAUUAAAUUUUGAAUAUUAUUAAAAUUAUUUUGGCAGAUUAGUGCAAUGAAUUUAGAAUUCAUUUAUGUAAUUAUAUUACAAGUAAUACUUGUUUUAUAUAGAUUUUAUUUUUUUAUUUAUUAUUAUAUUAUUAUUAAUCAUUUGUGUUUUAAUUGGAGUAGCUUUUUUAACUUUAUUAGAACGUAA
RNAcentral lists this ribosomal RNA (751 nucleotides) under Microtyphlus bateti. RNAcentral describes it as "partial large subunit ribosomal RNA". The stretch from base 344 to 503 matches the Rfam family "Bacterial large subunit ribosomal RNA", at positions 2473 to 2632 of the family's 2925-position model. The record is from RNAcentral. Lineage: Eukaryota; Metazoa; Arthropoda; Insecta; Coleoptera; Carabidae.